Molecule: unclassified non-coding RNA, 180 nt
Filed under: uncultured Herpotrichiellaceae
Lineage: Eukaryota; Fungi; Ascomycota; Eurotiomycetes; Chaetothyriales; Herpotrichiellaceae
Description: sequence contains ITS1
Source: RNAcentral
AUGGGUGAUGGGCACUUUUGUGCCCGACCUCCAACCCUGUGUCUACCUUACCGCGUUGCUUUGGCGGGCCCGCCCUCCGGGGCCGCCGGGGGCCUCUGUGCCCCUGGCCCGUGCUCGCCAGUGGCCUCUUAAAAUUCUAUGUGAAUCGUGUCGUCUGAGUAUCAAGUUUAAAUCGUUUUA